CAUGAAUCAGGUCCUCCUCUGAGCCAUCAACACUGAUAAUCUGCUAAUCCAUCCUGUUCUCUAACCUUCAACACACUAUUUCAGCAUUAACCCUGCUGUGACUUCACAGUGCUCAGCAUGCUGAUUAGCACUGAUUCCAAACACGCCGGCUACUGAAAAUCUUAAGGACUUAGUUAGUACUCAUCCUGGAAAGCCACUUGUGCCGAAGUGUUUCUCACCACACAUGGAAUGGUGCUUUUUAGUAACCAGUGUUCUAUGAGUGUCUCUGCCUUCCUCCUUAAGACUAUGCUAGAACCCCUCAGCCAAACCCUCACUGUUUUGAAUAUUUUCUUUCUUAAGACAUGUUCCUUAAAAAGCAUUAAUAUUAAGGCUUGAUUCUUAGUUAUUGUGAAGUACUGAAAUGCUGUUUCUUUGUAAUGCUCAGUUCUCACUUUUUUGUUUUCAAGCCAUCCUUUUUGUGCAUUAACAGUUCUCUCCUUUACACAUGAAAUAUUUAUUUGCUUAAGCCUCAGAAUUAAAACAUCAAUUCAAGGCUUACUUCUCAGCUCAUUCCAUGCUUCAGUGGAAGAAACAAAAAAAAAAAAAA
RNAcentral lists this long non-coding RNA (586 nucleotides) under Mus pahari (shrew mouse). Its description in RNAcentral is "predicted gene, 43914 (MGP_PahariEiJ_G0032945.1)". The record is from RNAcentral. Lineage: Eukaryota; Metazoa; Chordata; Mammalia; Rodentia; Muridae.